AUUGAACGCUGGCGGCAUGCCUUACACAUGCAAGUCGAACGGCAGCACGGGAGCAAUCCUGGUGGCGAGUGGCGAACGGGUGAGUAAUAUAUCGGAACGUGCCCAGUCGUGGGGAUAACGUAGCGAAAGCUACGCUAAUACCGCAUACGAUCUAUGGAUGAAAGCGGGGGAUCGCAAGACCUCGCGCGAUUGGAGCGGCCGAUAUCAGAUUAGGUAGUUGGUGAGGUAAAGGCUCACCAAGCCGACGAUCUGUAGCUGGUCUGAGAGGACGACCAGCCACACUGGGACUGAGACACGGCCCAGACUCCUACGGGAGGCAGCAGUGGGGAAUUUUUGGACAAUGGGCGCAAGCCUGAUCCAGCAAUGCCGCGUGCAGGAUGAAGGCCUUCGGUUGGUUAACGUUAGUACUUUGUUACGGUAACGGAAACGGUAACGG
Molecule: ribosomal RNA, 436 nt
Filed under: uncultured bacterium
Lineage: Bacteria
Description: bacterial SSU rRNA
Rfam family: Bacterial small subunit ribosomal RNA
Source: RNAcentral